UGGAAACGUGCCACCCACAGGUCUUGCUCUACUCCAGAAAACCAUCACUUUGAGCUCCUUCAACCCCACCUGCGUUGGGCACUGCCCAUUCUUUGUACCCUGCGAUGGCCCCCGUGUCACACGUGGCACUUGUGAAGACUUCUUGACAUAACCGUCUUUCUUCUGAGACCUUGAGCACCCCCUGGACUGCUGGGGUUUGAUUCCUCUUGCGAAUAAAUAAAGUAGGACUUUGUGAAGAUGUUGCUCAAGCCACGUCUGAUGCUCUACGUCAAUUGAUUGUCAUUGGCCUGUUGAGAGGCCGUCUUCAGGAUUUCAGGGUCCAUCUGAAAUAGUCCUCCCCAUUCUGCCUUUCAAAGUAUUACAUGCUGACCUUCAAAGUCACAUGAUUUCGAAAUGCGACCAAAUCAUGGCCCUCGGCCCUUGCGGUGCUCCACUCUGAGAAUGGAUUACUGGGCAAUGUGCAUCCUCUUGGUUCAUCACACAAUUGUCUUCUGGCAGACCCUGCAUGUAAUUCACGCCUUCUUGGGAAGGCCUAACCCCAAGGAGAGUGCUGCGGAAGGCACUGCUUUGUCCUGAACCAGAACCCGGCAAAUCCAAGCACCCUUCUCUCUUCCUCACCAACAAUCAAGUUAUUCUUACAAAUAAAGGUUCGGCCUGGGUAUCGUUAAAGAUAACCUUUGUGCAAGUGAAGUCCGUCUUUCUCUCAACAUCAUCAGUAUUUGGGGAGGAGUGAGUGACCCCUGGGAGCAGGGAUGCAGAGAUCU
This 764-nucleotide long non-coding RNA is filed under the name Canis lupus familiaris (dog). RNAcentral describes it as "lncRNA (ENSCAFG00845024901.1)". The record is from RNAcentral. Lineage: Eukaryota; Metazoa; Chordata; Mammalia; Carnivora; Canidae.